UACGUAUGGUGCAAGCGUUAUCCGGAUUUACUGGGUGUAAAGGGAGCGCAGGCGGCACGGCAAGCCUGAUGUGAAAGCCCGCGGCCCAACCGCGGGACUGCAUUGGGAACUACCGGGCUGGAGUGCCGGAGAGGUAGGCGGAAUUCCUAGUGUAGCGGUGAAAUGCGUAGAUAUUAGGAGGAACACCAGUGGCGAAGGCGGCUUACUGGACCGUAACUGACGUUGAGGCUCGAAAGCGUGGGGAGCAAACAGG
This 253-nucleotide ribosomal RNA is filed under the name uncultured bacterium. RNAcentral's name for it is "partial 16S ribosomal RNA". It matches the Rfam family "Bacterial small subunit ribosomal RNA", at positions 524 to 776 of the family's 1533-position model. The record is from RNAcentral.